Kogia breviceps (pygmy sperm whale) is the source of this 1969-nucleotide non-coding RNA. The record is from RefSeq and is a predicted model, not a curated record. Lineage: Eukaryota; Metazoa; Chordata; Mammalia; Artiodactyla; Physeteridae.
CCCACUUCGGUCUCGGCUCCGCCUCCGCUCCGCCCCCCGGGUUUGCUCUUCCCAGGAGAGAAGCUAGGCUGGGCCUGUUUCUGGGAGAAGAGGGGAGUGGUUGACUGAGCUCGGAAAGGACAGGCCAGGAGCUUCCGAGCCCUCCCCGCCAAGGCCCCAGCUCGCCCCUAACUCUGUCUUCAGAAGGCUCCGCCCCGCCCUCCCGCCUGCACAGAAGGCUCACUCUCCCCGACGCUGCCUGCGACCCAGUUCCGCCCUCCCCCAUCCACCGGAGUAGCUGCUUCAGCCCUGCUGGCGCUUCCGCCCACCCGGCUUCCCCUCGCUGGGCAUGUGCAGUGGCCAAAGCCAUCUCCUCUCCAGGUCUGCUUGCUUUCUUUUGUCUCCUGUAGCUUAUUCCCUUUGGGUUUAGGGAGAGAGGGAAAGCAUCAGGAUGCCAGCACAGCAGCACAGGGAACAGAACAGAGAGGUGCUGGAUAACGUGCUUCUCUUCUUAGCUUAAAAGCCUGUCCCACAAUUUCCUCUCCAUUCUCCCCUCUAGGCCUGGAUCUUCAGCUUCCUGUCUCCAACUUAACUGCAUCAGGGGAGUUCUGAAAGUGGCAUCUAGAUGAAAAGGCAGCCUCUUGGGCACUCCAGCAGCUGGUGUCUAAUGAAACUUUCAAGUCACUGUGCUGGGUGCUGUGCAGGAGACAGAGGUGCCCAAGAGGUGGGCGCACCUCUCACAGACCUUUCAGUGAAGCAUGGAAAAUAGGAGUCGUGCCCCAAUCACCAAAGGGAGAAACCCACGAGGAAGGCCCUGACAACCACCAUUCUACUUUCUGGCUUUAUGACUUUGACUAUUCUAGGUAUCUCAUGCAAGUGGAAUCAGACAUUAUUUGUCCUUUUGUGAGUGGCUUAUUUCACUUAGCACAAUGUCUUCAAUGUUCAUCCAGGUUGUAGCAUGUGUCAGAGUUUCAUUUCUUUUUAAAGGUGAAUAAUAUUCCCUCGAAUGUAUAUGUCACAUUUUGUUUAUCCAUUCAUCCAUCUGUGGAUACUUGGGCUGCUUUCACUUUUGGCUAUUAUGAAUAAUGCUGCUAUGAAUUUGGGUGUACAAAUAUCUCUUCAAGACCUGCUUUCAGUUAUUUUGGGUAUAUGCCCAAAAGUAGGAUUGCUGGAUUGUAUGGUAAUUCUAUUUUAAUUUUUUUAAGGAAGAACCAAACUGUUCUCCAUGGCAGCUAUACCAUUUUAUAUUCCCACCAACACAAGAGUUCUGAUUUCUCCACAUCCUUGCCAACAAUUGUUUCCUUGUUUUGUUUUUUUAAUAGUAGUUAUCCUACUAGGUGUGAGAUGAUAUCACACUGUGGUUUUGAUUUGCAUUUCCCUAAUGAUUAGUAAUGCUGAGCAUCUUUCCAUGUGCUUGUUGGCCAUGUGUAUCUCCUUGAAGUGUCUAUUCAACUCCUUUGCCCAUUUUCAAAAUUGGUUGGGUUUUUGUUGUUGAAUUGUAUGAGUUCUUUAUAUAUUCUGGAUAUUGACCCCUUAUAAGAUAUAUGAUUUGUAAAUAUUUUAUCCCAUUCGCUGGACUGACUUUUCACUCUGUUGAUUGUGUCUUUUGAUGCACAAAAGAUUUUUAUUUUUACAUAGUCCAAUUUAUCUAUUUUUUUCUUUUGUCACCUGGGCUUUUGGUGUCAUGUCCAAGAAAACACUGUCAAAUCUAAUGUCAUGAACUUUUUACCCUAUGUUUUCUUCUAUGAAUUUUACAGUUUUAGCUCUUAGGUUUAGGUCUUUGAUUGAUUUUGGAUUAAUUUUUGUGUGUGGUAUAAGGGAAGGGUCCAACUGAUAAAACUGAAUUCCCAUUCAGGAUUAAAACUCUUCACAAACAAGGGAAUAAAACACCUACAGUAUGAAAAGCAGUUUCCAAUGUGUAACUUUUAUAUUAUAGCAUAUACAGUAUAAUUUCUGUUAAAAAUCUGUAAGUAUAUAUGUGCAUGGUUCA